AGAAAUAUACAUCCAGUAACAUUAUACUUUCAUGAAAAAUGGAAAAAUACAAAAACAUCAAGAGAGAAAAAAACUCAACCACUAAAGCCAUUACCUCUCCAUGGUACGAUAUAAACCAAACCAAAACCAGAAGCCAACCAAACCGGAAAUCAAAGAUCAGCAAAACCAAACACUUUCCAGUUUCCACAGCUAACGUUAUUCACUGUACAAAUCUAACAAAGCUUUACUCAGCCUUCACAAAACCAUCACUCUUUUGAAGUAGAAUCCGUCUGAGACACCCCACUACCCUGACGAUCUGAGUAAGGUCUAACAAACGAUCUCCUCCACCAAACCUCAAAAGUUCUCUGCAGAUUCGGACAACCAUCUCCACCAUUCAAGAAACUCCCAAGCCAAGACAUCAAAAUCCUCUGCUGAUCUUCCAACGGCAACGUCAGUAUCGUCCUCCCUAUCCCUUCCUCCACAAGCUUCCCAUCGAACGAUCUGCAACCGUGCUGCAGCCAGUUAUAGUCCUUGAACAAAGGCUGCAGCCACGUGGUCAACAGCAAAAGCCUAGUGUCUUUCGAAGGCAGCAGCUCUCCUCUCCCAAUCCCUACGAAGAGCCUAGACGUCACACGGCUUAUAUGGUAACGAGACACCAAAGGAACCUUCUCGUGUAACAAAGCUAGCUCCUUUUGGUUAGCCCACGUGACUGAAAACUCCUCUGCCGCUUGUCUUUCUGCUAACACAUCAAGCAGCCACGUGAGGUUAUCAGCUUCCACACCUAUCUGUUUAGCAUCACUCUCGUCCUGUCUGAACAGAGACAAGACCGUGUCUAAACAGCUCUGGCAAGAGGAGUAGAUCGUCUCGUUGAAAUUCUCAGCUACAUUGUUCCCGUUCUGUUCCCUGAGAAGCUUCAGGACUAUAGACUUCAUCUCGCGAUGAUGCGUGAGAGCGUCUCUUUAGGCGGAUCCACAGAAGAGGAAGCAACUCUUUUGAGGACAGGAGUAGUCACAACACUAACACCUUCUGUCUUCAACCUAAGUAUCGACGAGAUCACUUUCUCCUCUUCCUCUUCACCAACCCAAGGCACAGGUCAGCUUCUAAAUAAUCCAAACAAGACUGAACACAAGAACCGAAGCCAAGAAGCUCCGCAACCUUAAGAACACGGAGGACUCUGGUCACGCUCUGUCUCAUAAGCCUUUGAUUCAUGUCUUUACAAUACAUAAGCCCAAAACUAAAUUACUAGAGAAUGUUAUAUUAUAUACCUAGAUAGUAUGAUCAUUAUAGACCAUUCAUUUAUCAAAUUAAAUAAUUAUAUAUUUUUUCCUUCAAUAAAACCUACCUAAUGUGAUUAAGAUAUAUAUUGUAAUUAAUGAUUUUACAUAAUAAAGAUCUGCUAACAAUUUGUAUACUUUCUAUCAUUUUUGUUUAAUUAUUUUUUGUUAAAAUAAAUCAGACAAUUACAUUAACUAUAUAAUAAAUUUUAGAUUUUUUUGUACAUGUUGUAUUUUGAAUUUUUAAAACGAGUAUAAAUUACUAAAACUGUUAAAAUUUUUACAUAAACUUUUGUGAUCAAGGUUUAAAUUUUUUUCUAUAAUAAGAUACAAUGAUUAUAAAAUCAAAUGAAUAAAUAAAUUUAUGUUAAUAGGUAUUUAUGUUAAUAUAUAUAUAUAUAUAUAUAUAUAUAUAUAUAUAUAUAUAUAUUUCGUUUAAAUUAAACUAUACAUCAUAUGAAAAUACAUACUUAUAUUUUGAUAUUUGCGUUGAAUACAUCUUGAAAAGAUAAUAUUUUAAUUUUGAAAUCUUCAUUGUCUUUUUAAAAUAAUUAUAAAUUACUGAAACCACUAAACAUUCCACAUAAAAAAAUCGUUGGUGUAAAAUUUUGUUACACAAAAUGCAAAUAAUCAUAAAUCAUUUGAGUAGAAACCUCAUUUAAUAAAUAUUCAUACUAUAUAUCUAUGUUAGUAUCAUUUAAAUUUAAUUAUAUACCAUACACGAUAGAUAAAAUUGAUUGGUUUAAUUUAUUUAUCGUAAAAUGAUUGCGAAUAAACAAGAGCGGUCGUUGAUUUAUAUGUGUACGCCAAUUUAUUACAUAAUAGUAGUUAUUUAAUAUAUAAUUAUUAUUUAAAAUUUCAUAAUAUGCGAAAAAUAUAAAAUAAGUAAUAAAUAUAAAAUAUUUAUUCUGCACAAUGCGCAAAUCUUAAACAUUUUCUAAAUCUCAGGCCAAAACAAAAUAACGAAAUGAGAAUAAACUCAAAAAUCAAUAUUUAUAUUGAGCAAUAACCAAAAUAAAAAAAACGAUGCAAAAAUGAGAAAAAUAUUGAAGAUAGAUAGGCAGUGAACGCAAAGUUCUCAUAACAAUAAUUAAAUUUUAAAUUUUUAAAUCAUGAUUUAAAAUUGAGCUGCCAUAGUUUUAUUAUAACCAAAUAGUAGGCCUGUAAUUCUUCGGCCUAAUCGUUAGAUUCUUAUGCGAAAGGUGAUUUUUUUACCUAAAAUAUUUUGAAAAAUGGGAUAAGCUCAUCAGUAAAUAAAUUAUGUAAUUAACAAAAAGUUUUUAAAAACUUGCUUAAGGAUAAAAAAUAUUAAUUCGAUCAAAGAAUAUAAACUUUAUUUUUCCAUACGAUAUUUCUUAAAUAAUUUUCAUAUAAAUUCACUACGCGCAAGGCGCAUGUCCUAGUAUAACAUAAGGAACAAGACUUAGGUUCACCCCUAGAGUGAACCUUUAAAUUCAUCUCUCUUCUUAUUAACAAUUAAAAUGCUACCUAGAUUAAUAAUAAAAUAGAUUAAUUUUAUUUAAAAAAAUCUGAAAAAAAAAUAAGAACGUCAAUUUUAAUGAUGCUAACGCCAGUAACUAAACCCUAAACUUUAAAUUUAUUCCCUAAAUCCUAAAUCCUAAACCCAAAUCCUAAAUUCUAAACCCAAACCGUAAACCCUAAACCCAAACCCUAUAUCCUAACCCAAAUCUUAAACCCUAAAUCGAAACCGUAAACUCUAAACCCAAACCCUAUAUCCUAAACCCAAAUUAUAGACUAUAAACUCAAACCAUAUAUCUAAACCUAAUCCCUACACCCUAAACUCAAGUCGUAAACCUUGAACCUAAAUCCUAUAUAUAUUCUAAAGGUUUGGGUUAACGUUGAUGUUGUUUCUUUAGGGUUUAAGAUUUAGGUUUAGAGUAUAGGUUUGGGUUUAGGAUCUAGGGUUUUAGUUUAAGGUCUAGGGUUUGGGUUUAGAGUUUACGGUUUGAGUUUAGGGUUUAGAAUUUGGGUUUAAGAUAUAGAGUUUGGGUUUAAGGUUUAGAGUUUGGGUUUAAAAUUUAGGGUUUAGGGUUUAGAUUUAAAAUUUAGAACUUAGAUUUAAAGAUUUAGAGUUUAGUUAGUGGCGUUAGUAUCAUUAAAAUGAGCGUCACUAUUUUUUUCAAUUAUUUUAGAUUUUUUUUUUAAAAAAUAAUAUAUUUUAUUAUUAAUCUAUGUGGCAUUUUGAUUGGUAAUAAUAGAGAAGGUGAAUUUAAGAGUGAACCUAAGUUUUGUUCUAACAUAAAUCUCAAAAAGUAACUAAAAGAAAGUAAGGUUAACAAAAUCACGUAUUUUACGUAUAGAGCAAGUAAAAUAAACUUAACACUUUUUUUUUGUUUUCGACACUUUCCAAAUAACAAAGAUGCAUGCAUGGUUUAAUAGACCAAAUCAAAGAGAAAGAAACAAAUCACAUGAAAGGAAAAAAUACGUAUAUAUAUAAACUAGUUGAAUCUACGUUUUCUCCAGCGAAUCCGACUGGUGUCUUGCUUCGAAAACCCUGGAAGCCUAACAAAGCUAGGAACGUAGCUGCAUAAAAAAGGAAAACCACAUUCCCCUUCAUCUGCUUUAAUUACUUGGAAUUCCUUGUCGCUGAUGACUCUGAUAAUAGAUAGUCCCUUCAUGCCAGUAUCACUACAAGUUAUAACAAGCCUAUUGUUUUUGUCGAAAUAAUAAUUUGUAGAAAGGAGGGUAGGACGUGGAUAUAUAAGCGGAAAUUCUGGUAUGUCCACGACCACCAAUUUGGUCCAAGAAGUAAGCAUAAGCCAAUGCUUCACCCAUAUGCAUAUCUUCCUUGUUUUGCGACAUUGCUCCAACACCGAAAGCCUAUCUCCUUUAUAAAUCUCUAGUGCAAUAGGAUUCAACUCAUCAUAGCUGAAUGGCAAGUCAUCUAUGGGCUGAAACCUUUCUUUGUAAAAAUCAUAGCUUUGUACAAAAGCUGUAUGAUCUUCUCGAAGACCUAUACAAUAAGGAGUUCCUCUCAGAGAGAGGAUCGACAACGGCACGCUAAGGAACCAAUCAGAACUGAUGUUAUCUAUAACCUUCCAUGUUUUGGAUGCAACUUCACAGACCUCGACCCUUGAAGGUCUAUUUCUGGAAUUAUUAGCACAACGAAACCUUAAGAUCCUGUAAUCACAGUGGCUGAGGUAUCCAAGGCUGUAAGCAUCAUCUCGUUGGUGAAAGUCACUACCGCAUUUGAUCCAGGUUGUUUCCUUCAGUAAUGGGUUCCUAACCACAAGCUGGUUGUCCAUGACACACAAUAACAAACCGUCGCAAUGAACAGUCUUGUACACCCUAACUGGAUUACAUGUUCGAGCUUUUAUAAGGGUAAAGUCUUGGACGAUCAAGGACGGGGGAUCGACCACGUUUUUCUGCUCCUCAAUGCCCACGGCAGAAAUCGUAGGACCAGUGUCUUUGAGUAUAAACCGAUGCUCACCACUAUAGCUGUGCAUGUGAAACGACAAGUUCUUCUUGUUGAGUCUCUCCUCCAAAAUAAGACUAUUCCAAAGCUUACAUACACAUCUCAACGUUGCAAGAUAUUUCCAUGGAACUCUGGCGAGAAUUUCCUCUUCCAAAUCAUAUGGUAGCUUCAGUGCCAUUGUCGUGGAACCUGGUUUGUCAAAAGAGAGGUAAGACGCGAACAAUGUUUUCUAACCGUAAAAUACGUAUGUAUGUACAUAUAGAUGACGAUAAAAAAAAGAAAUUGGAAAACAUAAAUAAUCGGAAACUUGGAUAAAUAAAGUUUCUAUAUUUCAGUGAUAGUUUCCUAUUAUUUAUGGUUACCAUAACAGCCGGCUGCUUCUUUUUUCUUUUUUUUAACUCUUAUUAGUAACACUAGAGAUUUUUUCCGCCCGUAUCUUAUAAAUUUAUUUUAUUUAUAAUAUUAUUUGUCGGUUUUUUUCUUUUACAUUAACUUCUUGUUUUUUCAAUGUUAGUUUUUCUUAAUUUAAAUUUGUAUGUUUAUAAUUUUUCAUUUUUCUUGUUGUAUAUGUAGAAUUAUAUUUUGUAUUGAUGGUUUUUUGUAUGUGACAUAAACUUUUUGAAAUUUUAAAAUAAUGUUAUAUAUAGUACGAUUAACACAUUAAAAAAGAGAAACAUAUUCAAGCACAUUUUACACAGAUUUUAUAUGCAUAAUUUUAAACAUUAUAUAUGUAUAUAUUAUAAGUUUGAAACAUGUAAAUGCUUUCUAAAGCUAAAUACUUGUUCUGAGUUUACAUAACUUAUCAAAAGUUUUAUCUCUUUUUAAAUUCAAAUCACAGAAAAAAUAUAUCAAAAAGUCAGUAUAGAUAGGUUUUUUGGGCUUUUAAAUCAACACUGAAAAAUUACAUGAAUCCGAUAACAACAGUUUUAAAAACAACUGGAUAAAAUUUGACCGAGCCAAAGAUUUUCACACAAUAUGUUAUUUCUUCUUCAAAUUGCGAAGAGCCUAUACGCACAAGAAAAAAAAAUCAUAAUUUUUGUUUUCACUUAUAUAACAUUUCUUCUCCUUUACACACAAAGUUUAUUACACUGCUAUAAGCAAUGGAGAACUCUAUUCAUAUAAGAUUCACAUCUAUGCAUUUUUACAAAGAAGAAUUUUAGCCAUCUUAAGUUUCGGAAUGGACCAACUUCAGUCAUAUACACUAUAUUUCUCUAUGAUUCAAAUCUUACAAUUUUAAUAUAUGUACAGAUUUCUAUGUGAAAAAGCACGCACGCCAUCUAUCAUUCAACCUAUUAUUUUUUCCAAAGUAAACACUAUAAUCCUCGUUUGGUUAGCUCCACAAACUAAUCUCCUUAGAUCAGUUUAUUAAAAAAUAUGGAUACUAAUAUCAGAAAAAAAUAUAAACACUAUCAACAACAAAUAUUGGCACAAGACUAUUCCACGUAAUGCGUUUAUAUCAUGGCUGGCUUUGUAGAGAAGACUGCCAACCAAGAAUCGCUUAAGGCGUUGGGGGUUAAAUGUCUCAGGAACGUGCGUCCUUUGUAAUCUGGAAAUAGAGACUCACCAUCAUCUCUUCUUUGAGUGCUCUUUCUCUCACUUGAUAUGGAAGCCUUUUGCUGCUGAAGUUUGAAUUUCUCCUCCGGCUGAUCUACACUCUAUUGCAGCCUGGAUCAAUCAACCUCGCGUCAACGCAGAUACGCAUGCUACUCCAGUCAGCCAUCUACAUGCUGUGGAAAGAGCGUAAUGCUCGUGUGUUCACAGCUGUCUCCUCACCUUCAUCAGUCAUCCUUGCCUCUCUCGACCGUAUGAUGCGUGACCGUCUCCUCUCUUACCCGGCAAGUUCUUCUUUCUCUUCUUCUCUACUUCUUUUUAUCUUUCUUGUAUAAGACCUCCUUAAUGCUUUUUUUACCUUGUGUUAUUGUUGGUUGUUUUUGUUUCUUUGCUGUAAUAAGUUGUUUAAAAAGAACAGUGUAACCUUUCAGAAAAUAAUAAUCUUAACAUCUUACCAAAAAAAAACAAUAAAUAUUGACUUAUUUAUGUGAAUAUAUAUUUUUAUUUUAAAUCAUUAUAGUGGACGAAGAAAGCACCAUAAUUUAUACAACAAAUUUUCUUAGAUUCACCUCAUCAUACUCACCAUUUUACCAUUUUAAUUACAUAAUUUUACAUGAGCUUCUUCACCUCCCCGGUUAUUUUCUCUUUAUUUAUAACUACAAUAUAAAGUUAUGAACUAUAUAUAUUAUAAAUUAAUAAUUUCUAUACCCUUGAAGUCUAACGAUUAAAAAUAGAACAUAAUUUAAUAUAGAUAUAUGAUUCUAUUAAUAAAUUAGCAGUUACAAAUUUGAAAUUUCUAGAAAUAUCAAAAGUCGUAUGUUAGUUAAUUAUUUUCUAAAUGACAUAUAUUUUUAAUUCUUUUUGGAUGAGAAUAUUUUUGGGCUGCGAGAUUUUUCUUUACCUGGCCCACCGGCAAAUAUUUUUGCAGCCUAUUAUAUAUUUUUCUUUGGUUUUAUAGCGUUCGGACUGGUCCGAGUGGGAUAUUCAGUGAUGUUACGUGAUAUAAAUCAAGGAGCAUGGACUAUAGUUUUUUUCAAGUGACAUGGCAGUUUGAUAGGUGAGGAUUAUUUUGCCCAUGUGGCACCUCUACAAAAGCUAGAAUUUAGCUUCUUUUAUAUAGUAGGAUUCUAUUAGAAAAGACAGAGCUAUAACUCAAAAAACAGAGUUUCAUGAAACAAAAACAGAGCAAAACAGAGAACCACCUAUGCCCAUUUUCGAAAAAAAAAGAAUAAAAAACAGAGAACCAGCAGGUCUCAAAAGAUAAAACCAAGGAGAAGUAAUAGGAAAUCCUAUAUGUCGGCCAAAGAAAGACGCCGGCUGCUUUAGAGAUACUAUAAAGUAUAAUGUAAAUCUCAAAAACUGACAAUGUAUAAUUGGAAUUUGGAAAGACAAAUAAACUAGAAAAAUUGGAUACACCUAAGAGAAAAUUGCCAAAGAAAACAAAAAAAAUCAGGUUGUUGUCCCUUUGGUAUAAAACCAAUUUUAUCCAUUUUUUCUCAUUUUUACUCUUUUUAUUUCUGAAAACUAAUGAAAUAAAUAAUUUUGUGAAUCAAAAAAAUUAUUAAAAAUAAAAACAAUUAAUAAAACAUCUAUAUACACAAGCUGGUAAUUUUUUUUUGUUCAAAAAUUUGGUAAAUAAGAUUUUUAAAAUACGUUCUACUAAAAGUAGAAUGUGUCUUCUACGAAAAAUGGUAUAAUAGAAAACGAUUUAACGAUUUCUAAAAUAAACACGUUCAUCUAUUUUUUUUAGAACGUACAUUUUACUAUUUACUAAAUUUCUAAAAAAGAGAAAUGCGCAUUCUACUAAUCGUAAAGGUAUCCACUUUCCUUCCGAAUGCAUCUUCUACUUUUAUAAAGUAUUCAAAAUUUUGGAAAAUGUAUUUUCUACAAUGUACUCUUAUGUCUACUCAAAGUAGAAAGUGUAUUCAGAAUUUUUAUCAUUCUUCUAAACUUUUAGAAGUCACCUUCUACGGAUAAGAAUACCUGAUUUUUUGCGAAAAUUAAUGAAAUUUCAGUUAAGAAAAUAUUCUAAAGAGAUAUGGCCAGAGUUUAGAUCUUACUAAAUACAUAGCCGUUAAAAAUCACUAAAACAAAAAUUUGGAAUAGAUCUGAACUUGAAACAAAAUCAAUAAUCGAAUGGAUAUCUAAAUUUUUUAUCAUAAACUUUACAUACUUAAAAUAUUAACUAUAUUAAGUUUCAAAAUAAUCAAUAAUUUAAAUAUUAUUUAUAACUAAAAUAUCCAGAAAUCGAAAUACCAUAAUAUUUAAGUUGUUAUAAAAAUAUUUAGUGUUACAUAUAGCUGACAUUAAUUUCUUUUAAGUUACAUUACAAUUGUUUUAAAGGAUAAAAUAAGUAUAUUUUGUAUGUAUUGUGAACGGAGAAUGUAAAAUUAUUGUAUUUAAUUUAAUUUGAUUUUAAAAAAAUGCUAAAAUAAAAAGCUCAACUUAUAAUUUUAAUAUUGGUAUGAAAGUAAAUAUAUAUAAUUGCAUGGUCUAACAAAAAGAGAACAAACAAAAAUAACAGAAAUGAAAUUAGAUAACUUAUACUAAGACAAACAAUUAAUAUAUAUAUAUAUACCGACAAAAUAAAAAUAGAAUAUACCUUCAUUAAUAAUCGCAAUAAUUAUAUUAGAAAAUUUUGUUGACCGUAACAAAACUGUUUUGAGUCUUUCACAACAAACGAGAUAAAAAAAAUUAAUGAUAAAAAUUGCAAAAAAUAAUGUUCCAUGAAUAAUUAAAAUAAAAUCAUUAAAUUAAAAAUAAAUAUUAAAUAGAAAUGUAAUGAGACAAAUUCCAGCGCAAACUUGCUCUAGUAUCUUAAACACAAACUAGUUGAAUCUACGUUUUCUCCAACGAAUCCGACUGGUGUCUUGCUUCCAAAACACUGGAAGCCUAACCAAGCUUGGAACGUAGCUGCAUAAAAAAGGGAAAUAAAUUUCACAUUCAUUAGCUUUAAUUACUUGGAAAUCCUUGUCGUUGAUGACUCUGAUAAUAGAUAGACCCUUCAUGUCAGUAUCAUUACAAGUUAUAACAAGCCUAUUGUUUUUGUCGAAAUAAUAAUUUGUAGAAAGGAGGGUAAGACGUGGAUAUAUAAGCGGAAACUCUGGUAUGUCCACGACCACCAAUUUGGUCCAAGAAGUAAGCAUGAGCCAAUGCUUCACCCAUAUGCAUAUCUUCCUUGUUUUGUGACAUUGCUCCAACACCGAAAGCCUAUCUCCUUUAUAAAUCUCUAGUGCAAUAGGAUUCAACUCAUCAUAGCUGAAUGGCAAGUCAUCUAUGGGCUGAAACCUUUCUUUGUAAAAAUCAUAGCUUUGUACAAAAGCUGUAUGAUCUUCUCGAAGACCUAUACAAUAAGGAGUUCCUCUCAGAGAGAGGAUCGACAACGGCACGCUAAGGAACCAAUCAAAACUGAUGUUAUCUAUAACCUUCCAUGUCUUGGAUGCAACUUCACAGACCUCGACCCUUGAAGGUCUAUUUCUGGAAUUAUUAGCACAACGAAACCUUAAGAUCCUGUAAUCACAGUGGCUGAGGUAUCCAAGGCUGUAAGCAUCAUCUCGUUGGUGAAAGUCACUACCGCAUUUGAUCCAGGUUGUUUCCUUCAGUAACGGGUUCCUAACCACAAGCUGGUUGUCCAUGACACACAACAACAAACCGUCGCAAUGAACAGUCUUGUACACCCUAACUGGAUUACAUGUUCGAGCUUUUAUAAGGGUAAAGUCUUGGACGAUCAAGGACGGAGGAUCGACCACGUUUUUCUGCUCCUCAAUGCCCACGGCAGAAAUCGUAGGACCAGUGUCUUUGAGUAUAAACCGAUGCUCACCACUAUAGCUGUGCAUGUGAAACGACAAGUUCUUCUUGUUGAGUCUCUCCUCCAAAAUAAGACUAUUCCAAAGCUUACAUACACUUCUCAACGUUGCAAGAUAUUUCCAUGGAACUCUGGCGAGAAUUUCCUCUUCCAAAUCAUAUGGUAGCUUCAGUGCCAUUGUCGUGGAACCUGGUUGUCAAAAGAGAGGUAAGAUGCUCACAUGGUUUAUAACCGUAACAUACAUAUGUAUGUACAUAUAGAUGACGAUAAAAAAAAAGAAAUUGGAAAACAUAAAUAAUCGGAAACUUGGAUAAAUAAAGUUUCUAUAUUUCAGUGAUAGUUUCCUAUUAUUUAUGGUUACCAUAACAGCCGGCUGCUUCUUUUUUUUUUUUAACUCUUAUUAGUAACAUUGUAUUAGAAAAGACAGAGCUAUAACUCAAAAAACAGAGUUUCAUGAAACAAAAACAGAGCAAAACAGAGAACCAGCUAUGCCCAUUUUCGAAAAAAAAAGAAUAAAAAACAGAGAACCAAUAGGUCUCAAAAUAUAAAACCAAGGAGAAGUAAUAGGAAAUCCUAUAUGUCGGCCAAAAAAAGAGGCCGGCUGCUUUAGAGAUACUAUAAAGUAUAAUGUAAAUCUCAAAAACUGACAAUGUAUAAUUGGAAUUUGGAAAGACAAAUAAACUAGAAAAAUUGGAUACCCCUUUGAGAAAAUUGCCAAAAGAGAACAAAAAAAUCAGGUUGUUGUCCCUUUGGUAUAAAAUUAAUUUUGUCCAUUUUUUUUCCUUUUUUUUUGAAAGAAUUUUAAAUUUAUUCAAAUAAAAAAAAACCUUUGUACAGAGUUUUAUCUGCUACCAUAUUCAAAUACAUGAAAAGAAAUCCAAAAGAAAAUAUGCUAUCUAUAUCUCUCAAGCUUCACUAGACUCUGUCAAACCAAUCCUCCAUCAUCUUCUCAUAUUUGCCUCCUACCCUCCUUCUCAAUGAAGAUAUUCUGUUUCUAGUAAGCUUAUCAAGCCUUGCGAUCAGACAAGUAGCUGGCUGCGAUGCCUCACCCACUUUUCUCCUUUUUACUCUUUGUAUUUCUGAAAACUAAUGAAAUAAAUAAUUUUGUGAAUCAAAAAAAUUAUUAAAAAUAUAAACAAUCAAUAAAACAUCCAAAUACACAAGCUGGUAAUUUUCUUUUGUUCAAAAACUUGGUAAAUAAGAUUUUUAAAAUACGUUCUACUAAAAGUAGAAUGUGUCUUCUACGAAAAAUGGUAUAGUAGAAAACGAUUUCUAAAAUAAACACGUUCAUCUACUUCUUUUAGAACGCUCAUUUUACUAUUUACUAAAUUUCUAAAAAAGAGAAAUGCACAUUCUACUAAUCGUAAAGGUAUCCCACUUUCCUUCCGAAUGCAUCUUCUACUUUUAUAAAGUAUUCUAAAUUUCGGGAAAUGUGUUUUCUACAAUGUACUCUUAUGUCUACUCAAAGUAGAAAGUGUAUUCAGAAUUUUUAUCAUGCUUCUAAACUUUUAGAAGUCACCUUCUACGGAUAAAAAUACCUGAUUUUUUGCGAAAAGUAAUGAAAUUUCAGUUAAGGAAAUAUUCUAAAAAUCUCCUAGAAAUAUUCUAACUUCCUAAAACGUGUUAUGGUUGAUUUUACUUGAAAAAAUUAAAUAAAAAAACGAUUAUCCCUUCUCUUAUUCAUCAAUCUAUGGUUUUUCCAUAGUUUUUCUUUUGAUUCUUCUCACAAACUCUUGUUCUCUAAGAUGCAUAUCUAUACCUCUUUUUUUUUCGAUUGCCUUUCAACUGUUUUUUUUUCCUUUUCUCCAUUAACUUUUUUUUUUUUAAAAUUCAAAUUAACUUUUAAAUUGUGUUUAAUUAGAUUAAGUAUAGGGUUAGUUUGAUUAUGAGAAAAAUUAUACUAUUGAGAUAACUUUAUGUUGGUAUUAUACCAAGGGGACAACAACCUUAUUUUUUUGUUCUCUUUUAGCAAUUUUCCCCACCUAAUUACUGACAAUUUAUAAAAUUUUAAUUUUUUUUACCCGAGAGUUACUUGCACGUCACAAUAUUUCUUUUUACCAAUUUUAAGUCCCAUUUAUAAUAAAAUCUGAAUAAUUGGUCCUCCAAAUAGAACCCCUUCCCAACUCAUUCCAUCCAAAAUUUGGGCAUCUGUCCAACACACUUAUUUUCUCACAAAUGACGUAUAAUUGUGUUCCAUUGUUUAUGUGGUAGGUAGUUUUGAGUUGGACGUAGGGCUGGCAAUUAAGGUAACAUAUCAAGUUUGGUUUGGAUAUUUCGGAUAUCAGUUUGGAUAUAGGAAAAUGCGUACCAGUCAGAUAAUUUAAAAUUUUUGAUUUGGUUUGAUACUUUUCGGGUUUGGUUCAGUUGUAUCCGAAAAUUACUUGGUUGAGUCCAAAUAUAUAGAAAAUAACUGAUUUAUCUGAAAUGCGCGGAUCAAAGUUGUUUAUUUAUAUUCAAACAUGUAAAAAAUAUCUAAAUAUCCAUAAAUAAUUGGAAAUAUCUGAAUUAUCCACAAACAAAAUAACAUAUCCAAAUUUAUAGUUAUAGUUUAGUAAUUAAAGUACUAUAAGUAGUAAUAUAACUAGUAUUUAUAUAUAUAGUUAUACUUAGAAUAUUUUUGGAAAUUCGUUAUUUUUUUGGGUUCGGUUCGGGUUCGGAUAUGGUUCUACGUAUAUAGAAAUUCAUGUACAGUCCAGACAUCUAUGUUAGAUCGGAUUCUCUUGUGUACUUUAAAUUUGGAAUCGGAUCCAAUUUUGAACUUCGGAUCCAGAAAAUUUGUUCAAGUCUAGUUGAAUGUAUGUGGGUUUUAGGUGUCUUCUUUCCCUAGGUGUUUUGGAUUUCAGAUUUUAUAUUUCCUUAGUAUCUGCUUUUUCUUAAAUAAAAAACUCGGAAACAUUUAUGCUAAAGCUUUUGUUAGUUGUGUUGAGAGACGUACACUUCUUAUUCACAUCUAUUUAUACACAAUAGAUCUUGUUGGUAACCAUAAUCAACUUCACACAUCAAAAUCUAUUGAUCUCUGAGUUAAUUUCCUCUCUCUCAAAGGAGAAAAACUUCUCAAAGUUCCAAUAAGUUUUCUAAAAUGUAUUAUGUAUAGCUCAGCUUUCUUCUAACACCUCUUGUACUACUAACUUCAUAAUUUGUACAAGAUCUACUUCAAAUGUUUUCAAAGUUACUAGAGUCCAUAACUUUGUAUCUGCUGAGUAAGCCAAUGCUAUUCUCCCUUCUUAAGAGAACUCCAGCGCCUAGUUUCUCACUUAAUAUCUCAUAAUUUAAUAAAAAAGGCAAAAAAGAAUGAGAGAAACAUACUCACGGAUUCUCAAAUCAUCGGUCAUAACAUACUCUUGGAACCUCUUUUGAAAACAUGUCACUUGGUAAGUGAAUUUGCUUUUUUUUUUUAAAUAACAAACUAAUAGAACAUAUUAUAAUAAGAAUAUUUUAUGUUUGAGAAAUUCGAUUUGAGAAUCUCACGGCUGAGGUUUCACUAACUCAGUGGAGAAUUCUUGGUCGUCCUAGUAAUUGUACUAUCCAUACGACACCGGAAUGUAAACAUUUCAAAUCGACAAUGGAAUAUCUGUAAUUAAUGCUUCUUUUCACUUGAUCCAGUGUUGUUACGAGCUUCAUUUAGUAUAUGGACUCCAAUGAUGCAUUUCCAACUAGUUAGUCAACCUAUACGUACAUAGGACUCCCUUUGGUUAUUCUCCAUGAAUCAGUUUAGCUCCUAAUGUUAAAACGUGAAGCCCAUAAUCGUGUUUGAUGGUAACUUUAUUACAACAAAAGGUUAUAUAGAUACAGAUGGAGGUUUAUCUCGGUCUCUUUGUUAUCAUCAUUACCAAGGAUUCCUUCUUAAUUCAGGCUUCACUGCUUUAACUUGAUCUCCUAAACCAUUGAGUGUGAGAGUAUUCACUAUUUGUUACUUCUAAAAUAUGAGAAGCAUCUAAAUUAAGUAGCGCACUUGAAAAAUAUGAAGGAAAAAGAAUAAUUAUACUAAAGGCAUGAGACAUUGUGCUUAGUUGCCUAAGCAACAUGAGCUCCACAAGAACCUAAAAAAGAAAACACAAUGAAUUAUAUGCAAAAGAUAAAGAAACAUGGAAGGAGAUGAUAAGGAAUCAAAUCAUAUCAUCAUGUGCAGCAAGCAACAAAAUGAUGAGAGUAGUGUUCUCGAUAGCUUUGGUUACCAUCUUGUCACCAAUAAUAAAACAUUCCUCUUUCUUAGCAAUUCUAAUCAUUCCUUUGGCCAUCGCCAAACCGGCCUUGGAAGUGAUGAAACCCACGAUGAACCUGCUUCAUGAACAUCAAAAUCCAAAAUAAAUAAUUUUGUAGGAAAAAACUAACGUUUCAGUCUUUAGGUGGCUUUGGACCAGUUUACGUAUCUUAAUUGGGAUGUAAAUCUUAAUAAUUUAUGUGCCUGAAUUUGACAUGGAUACUAGUUUUUAAAAAGGGUAAAUCAACCUAAUAACUACAAAAACAAGUAACAUAUGGAAUGUGAAGAGGUGUAGUGCACAAUAUUUGUCAUUUUUAAGGCAAAACAAAUCAAACCAGACAAUCUUAAUACCCAUGAAUCCCUUAUAUUUGAAAUCAAAUGAAGAUAUCCAAGUUGAAGUUGCAUCACAUCAGCUAAUCAAACAAUAAGAGAGACAUUAAACUCAUGAACAAACCCAAAAUUCAUGAGCAAUGUUCAAAACAUUUUCUUUUGAGUAACUUUUAAAGUUUACACUAUAGUCUUUUACUUUGUAUCUUAUUUUAAAAAUAAUCCUUUCACUAAUUUUCAAAAUUUAUAGAAGAAUACGAAAAAAAUUAACAAGGCCAAUUUGUACCCAUUAUAAACAAAUUAAUUGUUGGUGUUAGCAAAACUUAUUGAAGCAUUACGUUCCAAUGUAACUAAAAUAAUCAAUUUAUUCAAGCAUGUGAAAAUAACAUGUUCUUUGCGUGUAGAACAAUGAACAAUUAUUUAACGGGAAAGGGAUUCACUAUGUUGGGCUCAGUGAACGGGAAUCACAUCGAAGUCGAGUAUGAACAGAGAGGGUAGCUUCUUUCUGUUGUAUUUAUGUUCUGAAUUUUGUUGUGUAUAUUGGAUUUUAUAUUAUUCUUACAACAUCUCUUAAAUGAUUUAAUAUAAAAAAAUCCUUGAUUUCACAGUUCUCUUAGCGGAUCAAACUAAAUCUUGGUUUACGUCCUAGGUUAAGUCUAUAUUCAUUACCUCUAAUAACAAAGACAUUAAAUAAGAUAAAUGCUUAAAUGUUUGGUGGUGAAAGUUGUAAAGAAAAGUAAUAAUACUAGUGAUUAGGUCAAAAGAUAGUUAUGUGGCACUCUGCUUGAAUAAGAAUACGUUUUGCAUAAAGAUAUUUAAUCACACCAGCUUCAAUUUUAGAUGUUUUCCUUAUUAAUUUUUUUGAUUUCGGUAUGAUACUUUGAUUCACAAUUUGAUUUUUUUACUGAUAUAAUUUAACCAGUCAAAAAACCUGUAUUAAUAUGAAAUACUAGCUAUCAAAUUUAAACGUUAAAGUAAUCUGAUUCUUGUUUAGAGAAAUGUUUUUUUUUUGUUGUUGUUUGGUGUUACACUUUCCAUCCGAAGAGAUAUGAACUUCAUGUUCAUACUUCGGUGCUUUUGUAAUUUGUUUUGUCAUUUGAUAGAGUAAUUUUAAGUUAUAAAGUAUUACAAACCAAAUUUUUCUUGUGAAACACAAAUCUCUUUCAAUUAUGGUUUACAAAAAAAUUUUAAAGCACAAUUUCAUUUCUUGACUCUACAUACAAAAUACCUAAAUCAUUUGUAUCUUGUUUUUAGAAAAACUAUAAAUGAAUAAUAAAAUAUUAUUAAACAUGCAACCAAAAUCAUACAUCAAAAAAAUUAUUUAUAAAAACAUGUAAAAAUACAACUCAUUCCACUCACAACUCUAGAUUCUAUGAUGAGAUACAUCAAGCUAAUUUUACUUGUCUAAUCCAUCUUCUCGUGAUCUUCGUACUAACAUUUUAAGCCUUCGUAAUGUUCAAGGAUAUCAAGCCUUGACAACUGAAGCCCAUAGUUAGAGGCCCAUCCGUGGUAAAAACCAAACAUUAAAAUUGGUAUAGAAAUCGAAUCAGACAUAUAUAAUUUUUCUGUAAUCAGAAAUAUACAUCCAGUAACAUUAUACUUUCAUGAAAAAUGGAAAAAUACAAAAACAUCAAGAAAAAGAAGAAAACUCAACCACUAAAGCCAAUCCAUUACCUCUCUCCAUGGUACGAUAUAAACCAAACCAAAACCAGAAACCAACCAAACCGGAAAUCAAAGAUCAGCAAAACCAAACACUUUCCAGUUUCCACAGCUAACGUUAUUCACUGUACAAAUCUAACAAAGCUUUACUCAGCCUUCACAAAACCAUCACUCUUUUGAAGUCGAAUCCGUCUGAGACACCCCACUACCCUGACGAUCUGAGUAAGGUCUAACAAACGAUCUCCUCCACCAAACCUCAAAAGCUCUCUGCAGAUUCGGACAACCAUCUCCACCAUUCAAGAAGCUCCCAAGCCAAGACAUCAAAAUCCUCUGCUGAUCUUCC
This 16575-nucleotide long non-coding RNA is filed under the name Brassica rapa (field mustard). RNAcentral's name for it is "long non-coding RNA (BRAP_LNC007193)". The record is from RNAcentral. Lineage: Eukaryota; Viridiplantae; Streptophyta; Magnoliopsida; Brassicales; Brassicaceae.